GAUGAACGCUGGCGGCGUGCCUAAUACAUGCAAGUCGAGCGAACAGACGAGGAGCUUGCUCCUCUGACGUUAGCGGCGGACGGGUGAGUAACACGUGGAUAACCUACCUAUAAGACUGGGAUAACUUCGGGAAACCGGAGCUAAUACCGGAUAAUAUAUUGAACCGCAUGGUUCAAUAGUGAAAGACGGUUUUGCUGUCACUUAUAGAUGGAUCCGCGCCGCAUUAGCUAGUUGGUAAGGUAACGGCUUACCAAGGCAACGAUGCGUAGCCGACCUGAGAGGGGGGACGGCCACCCAGGAACUGAGACACGUCCCAGACCCCUACGGGAGGAAGCAGGGGGGAAUCUUCCGCAAGGGGCGAAAGCCUGACGGAGCAACGCCGCGUGAGUGAUGAAGGUUUUCGGAUGGUAAACCUCUUUUAUUAGGGAAAAAAAAAUGUGUAAGUAACGAUGCCCUUUUGGACGGUACCUAAGCAGAAAGCCCGGGCUAACUACGU
Molecule: ribosomal RNA, 496 nt
Filed under: uncultured bacterium
Lineage: Bacteria
Description: partial 16S ribosomal RNA
Rfam family: Bacterial small subunit ribosomal RNA
Source: RNAcentral